CUGGCGGCAUGCCUUACACAUGCAAGUCGAACGGCAGCGCGGACUUCGGUCUGGCGGCGAGUGGCGAACGGGAGAGUAAUGUACCGGAACGUGCCCUAGAGUGGGGGAUAACGUAGCGAAAGUUACGCUAAUACCGCAUACGAUCUACGGAUGAAAGUGGGGGACCGCAAGGCCUCACGCUCAUGGAGCGGCCGAUAUCUGAUUAGCUAGUUGGUAGGGUAAAAGCCUACCAAGGCGACGAUCAGUAGCUGGUCUGAGAGGACGACCAGCCACACUGGGACUGAGACACGGCCCAGACUCCUACGGGAGGCAGCAGUGGGGAAUUUUGGACAAUGGGGGAAACCCUGAUCCAGCAAUGCCGCGUGUGUGAAGAAGGCCUUCGGGUUGUAAAGCACUUUUGUCAGGAACGAAACGGUGGGGGCUAAUAUCCUCUGCUAAUGACGGUACCUGAAGAAUAAGCACCGGCUAACUACGUGCCAGCAGCCGCGGUAAUACGUAGGGUGCAAGCGUUAAUCGGAAUUACUGGGCGUAAAGCGUGCGCAGGCGGUUGUGCAAGACAGAUGUGAAAUCCCCGGGCUUAACCUGGGAAUUGCAUUUGUGACUGCACGGCUAGAGUGUGUCAGAGGGGGGUAGAAUUCCACGUGUAGCAGUGAAAUGCGUAGAUAUGUGGAGGAAUACCGAUGGCGAAGGCAGCCCCCUGGGGAUAACACUGACGCUCAUGCACGAAAGCGUGGGGAGCAAACAGGAUUAGAUACCCUGG
RNAcentral lists this ribosomal RNA (760 nucleotides) under uncultured beta proteobacterium. Its description in RNAcentral is "bacterial SSU rRNA". It matches the Rfam family "Bacterial small subunit ribosomal RNA", at positions 36 to 790 of the family's 1533-position model. The record is from RNAcentral. Lineage: Bacteria; Pseudomonadati; Pseudomonadota; Betaproteobacteria.